AGAGUUUGAUCAUGGCUCAGAUUGAACGCUGGCGGAAUGCUUUACACAUGCAAGUCGAACGAUGAACCUUAGCUUGCUAAGGGGAUUAGUGGCGAACGGGUGAGUAAUAUAUCGGAACGUGCCUUGUAAUGGGGGAUAACUAGUCGAAAGAUUAGCUAAUACCGCAUACGCCCUGAGGGGGAAAGUAGGGGAUCUUCGGACCUUACGUUAUAAGAGCGGCCGAUAUCUGAUUAGCUAGUUGGUGGGGUAAUGGCCUACCAAGGCUUCGAUCAGUAGCUGGUCUGAGAGGACGACCAGCCACACUGGAACUGAGACACGGUCCAGACUCCUACGGGAGGCAGCAGUGGGGAAUUUUGGACAAUGGGCGCAAGCCUGAUCCAGCCAUUCCGCGUGAGUGAAGAAGGCCUUCGGGUUGUAAAGCUCUUUCGCAAGGGAAGAAAACUUACCAUCGAAUAAAUGGUGAGGCUGACGGUACCUUGAUAAGAAGCACCGGCUAACUA
Molecule: ribosomal RNA, 500 nt
Filed under: uncultured bacterium
Lineage: Bacteria
Description: bacterial SSU rRNA
Rfam family: Bacterial small subunit ribosomal RNA
Source: RNAcentral